Molecule: long non-coding RNA, 136 nt
Organism: Amblyraja radiata (thorny skate)
Lineage: Eukaryota; Metazoa; Chordata; Chondrichthyes; Rajiformes; Rajidae
Exons: 2
Source: RefSeq, a predicted model, not a curated record
UUUUUAGUGUAGUUUGGAGCGAGCCAGGGAGAAGAUCAUGCGAGCCAUAAAGGAGAUCAUGCGAAGUGUAACGGAGACACGAGGAGUUUUUAAUGUUUGAAGUAAUAAGCUGGAUUUCGAUGAAGAUUGCAGCAAC